CUUGACGGAGCCGAGCCACAGCGGUUCCUGGUCGCCGCGUUCGCGUCCGUACGUGGCGAGCAGGGCCUCCGCCUC
RNAcentral lists this antisense RNA (75 nucleotides) under Streptomyces sp. NRRL F-6491. RNAcentral's name for it is "ASpks sRNA". It matches the Rfam family "ASpks TB sRNA". The record is from RNAcentral. Lineage: Bacteria; Bacillati; Actinomycetota; Actinomycetes; Kitasatosporales; Streptomycetaceae. RNAcentral also lists the same sequence under 1 other name.